This 1330-nucleotide long non-coding RNA is filed under the name Felis catus (domestic cat). RNAcentral describes it as "lncRNA (ENSFCAG00000040870.2)". The record is from RNAcentral. Lineage: Eukaryota; Metazoa; Chordata; Mammalia; Carnivora; Felidae.
CUUAAUUCCAAACAGGCAUCUCCCACGGGCAGUGGGCACACCCAGACACAACCAAAGAGGAGGCACUGGGGUGCAGGGAAAGAGUAGAACUCUCACCGGGGGUGACUUAAGCUCUCGUUCUUUAUCGUUCCUGUCACAGGCAAAGCCUUUCCGUUCAUGGAGACCAUGGUUCACGUGCAUUUUCAUAUUUGCUGCUGGGCACUUCUGACUCACUUCUCCAGUCUUACUCAGCUUGUUUCCUCAAAAUGUUUCAGGUUUUGGUGUCCAGCCGUGAAGACUGAAAGCCUCACACCUUUUGCUUGAAGUGUGAGGGAUGCAACAUUUUCAUCUCUGGGGAGAUGAGGACACGCUUGCGGGCAACAUUGUUUUCCUUCUCCGUGCUUGUUGCAAAGUCAUGAGGAAGGACUUUAGUGGAGAUGAGCUGUCACUCGCUAUUAAAAGUUCAAAGUCAAAUUUGCAGUCCACUUCUGGCAAGGAAGACAGAGCUGCGUGGCCUCUAACAUUUUGUGGGCCAUUGCAAAGCUCACAUUCUCCGUGCCUGUGGAGCUUCAUGAUGCAAACAGCCAUGAUCAGACCUGUCCGGAUGGUCCAGGCUCGCCAAAUUCUAGUCCAGCACCCCUUGGAGACACAGGUGUCCUCCCCACAUCUAGAGACUUUUGAAACUAAGACAGCAAACCGGGGAAUUGAAGACAUCAGCUCUGAAGUCACGCUGCUUGGGCUCAAGGGCUAGAUCUGUUCAUAAUCAUGGGUGCACCUGGGCAGAUUUCUUAAUGUGCCUGAGCCUCAGUUUCCUCACGUGUAAAACGGGGUGGUAGUAGUUCCUCCUUCACCAGACUGUGGUAAAGUUUCCUGCUAAAUGCCCAGCAUGUGAUAAGGACUCCACAAAUGCUUCGUUGUUAUUCUUUGAAAGAAUUGUUAAAACAGGAUCCCAAAAUUGUGGUAUAUUUUCAUGUUUACAUUACCAAAUUCUAAUUCAAAACACAAUGGCAUAUAACUGCUAUUCACAGGUAAUUACAAGAGUGUGUUUGUUUGUUUGUUUGUUUUUUAAUUAAUUCAUAGCACCCAAGAGGUAUUAUGGUCCAAUCAUAGGACUUGAGGUUAGAGUUGAAUGAGAAACAUUUGUAUCUAUGACUAUAUAUAAGACCUCUUUGCAAACAAUGUCAAAAUUAUGAAUUUGAGAUCCUUUGUGAAUGUGUGUCCCCAUGCCAAAUACUUUCCCUGUCCUUUGCUAACCCCCAUUCCCUCCCACGUUCAUAUCUUCAGAUGACCAGAGCGAAUAACUUCCAGUGGGAAGCUGGAAUAAACUCCACUUCCUGUGUCUCUGAUUUCA